AACGUAGGACGCAAGCGUUAUCCGGAUUUACUGGGCGUAAAGGGCAGGCAGGCGGUUCGGUAAGUCGGAUGUGAAAUCUCCCUGGCUUAACCGGGAGAGUGCAUUUGAGACUGUCAACCUGGAGGGCAGCAGAGGAGCGUGGAAUUCCGGGUGGAGUGGUGAAAUGCGUAGAGAUCCGGAGGAACACCAGAGGCGAAAGCGGCGCUCUGGGCUGCACCUGACGCUGAACUGCGAAAGCCAGGGGAGCGAACGGG
Molecule: ribosomal RNA, 254 nt
Filed under: uncultured bacterium
Lineage: Bacteria
Description: partial 16S ribosomal RNA
Rfam family: Bacterial small subunit ribosomal RNA
Source: RNAcentral